Fukomys damarensis (Damara mole-rat) is the source of this 293-nucleotide long non-coding RNA. RefSeq lists it as uncharacterized. The transcript has 2 exons. The record is from RefSeq and is a predicted model, not a curated record. NCBI's taxonomy places the organism in Eukaryota, Metazoa, Chordata, Mammalia, Rodentia, Bathyergidae.
UGUGUGCUGUGGCCAAAGACAGCAGGAACUGCCCCAUCACUGUCUGCCUGGAUACCACUGACCAGAGGCGUGGGAGCCCUAGAGCUUUAACUUUGUGGUACUGAAGAUAUGGACAUCAGGGGACCCCAGGGGAGGCAGAACCAUGGGCCUGGAAGAGGGGGCCCCGCACCAGACCUACUGGCAGAAGAGCAGCAGCCCUGAGAACAAUACAUCCACAAGGUUGCCAUGAGGUGAGCUGCUUUGCUCCUCUAUGCCCUUCUGCUAUGUUCUGCCUCACCUCAGGCCCACAGCAA